Molecule: ribosomal RNA, 497 nt
Filed under: uncultured bacterium
Lineage: Bacteria
Description: partial 16S ribosomal RNA
Rfam family: Bacterial small subunit ribosomal RNA
Source: RNAcentral
GAUGAACGCUGACGGCGUGCCUAAUACAUGCAAGUCGAGCGAACAGAUGAGGAGCUUGCUCCUCUGACGUUAGCGGCGGACGGGUGAGUAACACGUGGAUAACCUACCUAUAAGACUGGGAUAACUUCGGGAAACCGGAGCUAAUACCGGAUAAUAUAUUGAACCGCAUGGUUCAAUAGUGAAAGACGGUUUUGCUGUCACUUAUAGAUGGAUCCGCGCCGCAUUAGCUAGUUGGUAAGGUAACGGCUUACCAAGGCGACGAUGCGUAGCCGACCUGAGAGGGUGAUCGGCCACACUGGAACUGAGACACGGUCCAGACUCCUACGGGAGGCAGCAGUAGGGAAUCUUCCGCAAUGGGCGAAAGCCUGACGGAGCAACGCCGCGUGAGUGAUGAAGGUCUUCGGAUCGUAAAACUCUGUUAUUAGGGAAGAACAAAUGUGUAAGUAACUAUGCACGUCUUGACGGUACCUAAUCAGAAAGCCACGGCUAACUACGUG